RNAcentral lists this ribosomal RNA (585 nucleotides) under fungal sp. 51605. RNAcentral describes it as "eukaryotic LSU rRNA". The stretch from base 220 to 373 matches the Rfam family "5.8S ribosomal RNA". Lineage: Eukaryota; Fungi. The record is from RNAcentral.
GGUUUCCGUAGGUGAACCUGCGGAAGGAUCAUUACCGAGUGAGGGCCCUCUGGGUCCACCUCCCACCCGCGUUCUAUCGUACCUUGUUGCUUCGGCGGGCCCGCCGUUUCGACGGCCGCCGGGGAGGCCUUGCGCCCCCGGGCCCGCGCCCGCCGAAGACCCCAACAUGAACGCUGUUCUGAAAGUAUGCAGUCUGAGUUGAUUAUCGUAAUCAGUUAAAACUUUCAACAACGGAUCUCUUGGUUCCGGCAUCGAUGAAGAACGCAGCGAAAUGCGAUAAGUAAUGUGAAUUGCAGAAUUCAGUGAAUCAUCGAGUCUUUGAACGCACAUUGCGCCCCCUGGUAUUCCGGGGGGCAUGCCUGUCCGAGCGUCAUUGCUGCCCUCAAGCACGGCUUGUGUGUUGGGCCCCCGUCCCCCUCUCCCGGGGGACGGGCCCGAAAGGCAGCGGCGGCACCGCGUCCGGUCCUCGAGCGUAUGGGGCUUUGUCACCUGCUCUGUAGGCCCGGCCGGCGCCAGCCGACACCCAACUUUAUUUUUCUAAGGUUGACCUCGGAUCAGGUAGGGAUACCCGCUGAACUUAAGCAU